AGGGAUGUGGCGUAGCUUGGGUAGCGCAUUUGUUUUGGGUACAAAAAGUCACAGGUUCAAAUCCUGUCAUCCCUA
This 75-nucleotide transfer RNA is filed under the name Monotropa uniflora (ghost pipe). Its description in RNAcentral is "tRNA-Pro". It matches the Rfam family "tRNA". From Rfam's summary of the family: Transfer RNA (tRNA) molecules are approximately 80 nucleotides in length. Their secondary structure includes four short double-helical elements and three loops (D, anti-codon, and T loops). The record is from RNAcentral. Lineage: Eukaryota; Viridiplantae; Streptophyta; Magnoliopsida; Ericales; Ericaceae.